ACCAAUAUGUCCCUUCCUCAAAAAUAGUUAACCAUUCAAAGCCUCAAACGGGCCUUAUCUUCUCCGCAAUCAUGGCUUCCCUAACCUCUACCGCUUUGUCCAAGAUCUCACCGUCUUCUCCAGAAAUUCUGCCCAAUACCCGUCGGUUUCCACAGCCCAUAACUCUACAACAAAUCAGACCAGUCUCUCGAAAAGUGGUCUUGUCUAAAACGGCUAUAAAAGCGACGAGUCCAAGUGCAGCCACUGGUUCCCAAUCUCCAGGACUUUACUCUGCGCAGAAAUUUGAGCUUACUGCUCAAAACGUGGACUUGGUUCUCGAGGAUGUUCGGCCUUACUUGAUUGCUGAUGGUGGAAACGUCGACGUUGUUUCCGUCGAAGACGGUAUUAUCUCUCUCAAACUCCAGGGUAAUUUGACUCUUUCCUUUCAUUUCUUCAUUUUUUAUGUUUAGACAAAGUUCUUGAAAUGAUCUGUUUGUUUUGAUUGGGUGAAAUUUUCUUAUCAAUUGCUUGAGAUAUGGUUCUAUGUUCGUUCACUUGCCAUUUUAGUAUAUCAUUCGCUGCAUAAUUAAUGAGGCGUAGAAAAUUAUCUAUUACUGAUUAAUCAAUUUGAAUCGGUUUCAUGGAGAAUUUGGGUCGAAGUGAAGAUGGGAGUUGCUGCAUUUACAUUAUUUUCAGAAAAAAAAGUAUCAAUCUUUUAGCUCCUCCAUUCGUCGAACUUCGUCAUCAAAUAACGUGUCCACAAGAUUGAACGUUUACUCUGGUUUGGCUGGAAAAAUUCUGAAUAUUUCAAUUCAUAAAUAUAAUUUUCAUACUUAGCAGUUGCCUGAAGAAAUCAACUUGCCAUCAAACAGUCCGUGGUGGCAAAUCUUAUGCUGUCCAUGUUUCUACUUCUAGCAUUUCAACAUAAAGUGUUCAUUUUGUUUCCCUUUUCUAAAUAGUCAUUUAAGAGGUGUUCUUUAUUGAUAUUCAUUUUAGAAAAGAGUUAAUUUUUGUGGCCAUAAGGAGUUUAUGGAUCGUUACCUCAAAAUCAUCCCAGCAAUUCUGGUAGUUUCCAAAGGUUUAUUCUGAUAAUGCCAUUUUUAAAUUGUUUUGUUGUUAUGUAUGUUUUGAUUACUGCCAAAUGGUUUGAAUUUAUGUUCUUAUAAAUUACAAAGGUCAUUGCUCACUCAGCAAUUGUGAUGUAAUAGUGUAUGCUAGAUAUAACCAAAGAGGUGGGGGCGCAGGAGUGGGUAUUUAACAACAUUUGAAUUAGGUUCUUUUUCUUUUUCCCCAAGGCCACCUCCAAUUGAUUCUUGAGCUCUUGAGUGAGCAGUGUCCUCUUUGAAUAUAAGCCUUCUCAAGAUGUAUUCGCUCCCCUUUGUAUUAUGAAUCUUGUGAUUGAUAAGGAACCAUCACCAUUUGCUCAGAGUCUGACCCUUGCCCUCUAUUCCAGUCUUAAGUGGAAAAUUAGUUACCGAUUGGUUUACUGUAUGGAAAUCCUUAGGGAUAUGUAAUAAUAUUACUCUUGUUAAAGCCUAUAUACUAUAUAAAUUAAAAGUGGAACUUCUACUGUAUGGGAAAUCCUUAGGGACAUGUAAUAAUAUUACUCUUGUUAAAGCCUAUAUACUAUAUAAAUUAAAAGUGGAACUUCUACUGUAUGGGAAAUCCUUAGGGACAUGUAAUAAUAUUACUCUUGUUAAAGCCUAUAUACUAUAUAAAUUAAAAGUGGAACUUUCAAGUAUAGAUGUGCUAAUCCAAUGUUAAAAGGUGCAGUUCAUAUAUGUCAUAAGUUGGUUAAAGAUAAAUAUUUGUGAUACCACUUAAAAGGUUCCAUUCUUAAGAUUUUGUUGGCAUAUUUAAUUGAUAAACA
Molecule: unclassified non-coding RNA, 1849 nt
Filed under: Hevea brasiliensis (rubber tree)
Lineage: Eukaryota; Viridiplantae; Streptophyta; Magnoliopsida; Malpighiales; Euphorbiaceae
Source: RNAcentral